GCUGAUGAAGUACUUCGGUAAUGAAUCUUGGAUCUCUUAGUGGCGGACGGGUGAGUAACGCGUGAGCAACCUGCCUUUCAGAGGGGGAUAACGUUUGGAAACGAACGCUAAUACCGCAUGACAUUAUCUUAUCGCAUGGUAGGAUAAUCAAAGGAGCAAUCCGCUGAAAGAUGGGCUCGCGUCCGAUUAGGUAGUUGGUGGGGUAACGGCCCACCAAGCCGACGAUCGGUAGCCGGACUGAGAGGUUGGACGGCCACAUUGGGACUGAGACACGGCCCAGACUCCUACGGGAGGCAGCAGUAAGGGAUAUUGGUCAAUGGGGGAAACCCUGAACCAGCAACGCCGCGUGAGGGAAGACGGUUUUCGGAUUGUAAACCUCUGUCCUCUGUGAAGAUGAUGACGGUAGCAGAGGAGGAAGCUCCGGCUAACUACGUGCCAGCAGCCGCGGUAAUACGUAGGGAGCGAGCGUUGUCCGGAUUUACUGGGUGUAAAGGGUGCGUAGGCGGCUUGGCAAGUCAGUAGUGAAAUCCAUGGGCUUAACCCAUGAACUGCUAUUGAAACUGUCGAGCUUGAGUGAAGUAGAGGUAGGCGGAAUUCCCGGUGUAGCGGUGAAAUGCGUAGAGAUCGGGAGGAACACCAGUGGCGAAGGCGGCCUACUGGGCUUUAACUGACGCUGAGGCACGAAAGCGUGGGUAGCAAACAGGAUUAGAUACCCUGGUAGUCCACGCUGUAAACGAUGAUUACUAGGUGUGGGUGGACUGACCCCAUCCGUGCCGGAGUUAACACAAUAAGUAAUCCACCUGGGGAGUACGGCCGCAAGGCUGAAACUCAAAGGAAUUGA
RNAcentral lists this ribosomal RNA (841 nucleotides) under uncultured bacterium. Its description in RNAcentral is "bacterial SSU rRNA". It matches the Rfam family "Bacterial small subunit ribosomal RNA", at positions 70 to 913 of the family's 1533-position model. The record is from RNAcentral.